Molecule: ribosomal RNA, 1381 nt
Filed under: uncultured bacterium
Lineage: Bacteria
Description: bacterial SSU rRNA
Rfam family: Bacterial small subunit ribosomal RNA
Source: RNAcentral
GACGAACACUGGCUCGCCUGCCUAAUGCAUUGCCCGUCAAGCCAAGUUUUUCUGACGCUUGGUCUACAAAAACUUACCGACGAACCGAAGAGAAACACGUCUAGAAACAGCCUCAUGCACGGGGACGACUUAUUGCACACUAUACCUAAUACCGGAUAACAGGAUAAAUCGCAUGAUAUAUGUUUAAAAAUUGGUUUCGGCUAACCCUAUGAUACGGCUUUGCGGAGCAUUAGCUACUUGGUGGGGUAAGGCCUACCGAGGCGACCAUGCAUAACCGACCUGACACGGUGAUCGGCCUCACUGGGACUGACACACGGCCCACACUCCUACAGGAGGCACCAGUAGGGAAUCUUCCCCAAAGGGAGAAAGCCUGAUCGAGCAACGCCACAUGAAUGAAGAAAGAUUUCGGUGCUCAUCGCUCUGCUGUUAAGGAAGAAUGAUUGUAUAGCAACUGUAUACAGCACAGACGGUUCCUAAUCAUAAAGCCACGGCUAACUACCUGCCAACAGCCGAGGUAAUACGUAGGUGGCAAGCGUUGUCCGCAAUUAUUGGGGCGUAAAGCGGGCGCAGGUGGUUUAAUAAGUCUGAUGUGAGAGCCCCCGGCUCAACCGUGGAGGUUCAUGGUAAACUGUCAAACCAGAGUGCAGGAGAGAAAAGUGGAAUUCUUAGUGUAGCGGUGAAAUGUGUUGAGAUUAGGAGGAACACCAGUGGCGAAGGCGCCUGUUUGUCCUGUAUCUGACAUUGAGGCGCGAAAGCGUGGGGAGCAAACAGGAUUAGAUACCAUGGUAGUCCACGCCGUAAACGAUGAGUGCUAAGUGUUGGUCUCAUAAGAGAUCAGUGCUGCAGCUAACGCUUUAAGCACUCCGCCUGGGGAGUACGACGGCAAGGUUGAAACUCAAAGGAAUUGACGGGGACCCGCACCAGCGGUGGAGCAUGUGUUUUACUUUGAAGCAACGCGAAGAACCUUACCAAGUCUUGACAUACCGUGAGGACACAAGAGAUUAUGUUGUUGUGACCUUUGGUUGCACACAGAUACAGGUGGUGCAUGGUCGUCGUCAGCUAGUGUCGUGAGAUGUUGGGUUAAGUCCCGCAACGAGCGCAACCCCUAUGUCUAGUGGCCAGCAGUAAGAUGGGGACUCUAGACUGACUGCCAGUGAUAAACUGGAGGAAGGCGGGGAUGACGUCAAAUCAUCACGCCCCUUACGACUUGAGCUACACACGUGCUACAAUGGAUAGGAACAAAGAGAAGCUAACUCGCGAGAGCAAGCUCACCUCGUAAAACUAUUCUCGGAUCGGAUUGUACUCCGCACCUCCACGACAUGAAACUGGAAUCUCUAGUAAUCGCGAAUCAGAAUGAGGCGGUGAACCCGUUUCCGGCUUG